GAAAAUGAUGGAAGAUCCAACAGUGCAGAAGAUGGUUUACCCCUAUCUACCCGAGGAGAUGAGGAACCCUACAACAUUUAAAUGGAUGCUACAAAAUCCACAAUACCGUCAACAGUUGCAGGACAUGAUGAAUAACAUGGGUGGAAACCCAGAAUGGGACAACCGCAUGAUGGAUUCCUUGAAGAAUUUUGAUCUCAGCAGCCCUGAAAUCAAGCAACAAUUUGAUCAGAUAGGACUUACUCCCGAGGAAGUCAUUUCGAAGAUUAUGGCUAAUCCUGAUGUUGCCAUGGCUUUCCAAAAUCCAAGAGUUCAAGCAGCCAUCAUGGAUUGUUCUCAGAAUCCACUGAGUAUUGCAAAAUACCAAAAUGACAAGGAGGUGAUGGACGUCUUCAACAAAAUAUCAGAACUAUUCCCUGGGGUGUCAGGUGCGCCUUGAUUAUCUCCGUCCUGCCUAAGCAGCUAUUAUGUGACAACGCUGUCAUUUUUGUUCUGUUUGAGUGAAGUAUCAGUCAGAAUUGUUGGGCUCUGAGAUGUAGUUUUCGCCCUCUGUUGCAACUCGGAUGCACAUGAAAACGUCGCUUCCUUUAUAUAAAUUCAUUGCCCUUCUCAAAUUUUGUGGAUGUGAACAUACUUGCCUUGGCUUACCAGUAGUCUUUAGAAGCCAAUUUCAGUUGUAUAUUUGCCAGUUUCUUUAUGGUUUUAGAGUUACUUAAGCUUAUUCAACUGUAUGAUUUGAUGAAAC
RNAcentral lists this unclassified non-coding RNA (742 nucleotides) under Hevea brasiliensis (rubber tree). Lineage: Eukaryota; Viridiplantae; Streptophyta; Magnoliopsida; Malpighiales; Euphorbiaceae. The record is from RNAcentral.